UCUGUUUAUUUUUGCUGUUAGUACCAUGUGUUGAUUUAAAUUUAAAUUUCAAUACAUUUCACAGUAAAUUGAGCAAUGCACAAAGUAAAAGGCCCAAUUGUUUGUGUUGAAAACCAGAGGCAGCUCUACAGUCGGUAAUUUUCACUCUGCAACUGAUGAUAGCUUCGGCUCAGCUGGGACCAUUGAAACUUUUGAUGGUUCCAAAUUCCGAUGCAACGUCUUUUUACCAAAUACAUCUCUUCGCGAAAUAAAUCAGACCUUCCAACGAUACAAUUUUACAUCGGGCGGUUUAACGCCAAAGCUCUACGACUUCUUCAGUUUGGCCUUGAGAAUUUCAAUCGGUGAGUGGAUGCCCAUAUACAUACAUAUAAAUGCAGAAUCUGAUGCCAGUUCAACCGUAAACUUUUCGGUCGAAACGAAGUACGGACAUGCAAAAAAUUAGCUGCAGAUCCAACGGGUUUGGUAGCACGCCAAAUUUGGGCCUGACUCGAUAACAACAAUAGGAAUCAUUAAGAGCCACUACUUUAUUGAAAAAAUUUAAUAUUUUGAAAUAAACUAAUUUAUGAUGACAAAA
Molecule: long non-coding RNA, 574 nt
Organism: Rhagoletis pomonella (apple maggot)
Lineage: Eukaryota; Metazoa; Arthropoda; Insecta; Diptera; Tephritidae
Exons: 2
Source: RefSeq, a predicted model, not a curated record